GAUGAAGAACGCAGUGAAAUGCGAUAAGUAAUGUGAAUUGCAGAAUUCAGUGAAUCAUCGAAUCUUUGAACGCACAUUGCGCCCGCCGGCACUCCGGCGGGCACGCCCGUCCGAGCGUCACUUCAACCACACUCGGGGAGCCGCCCGGCGGCGCCCCGGCAUUGGGCUUCCGCGGUCCCCUGGCCGCGGUACCCGAAACACAGCGGCGGCAGCGCUAGUGGCGUCCCCUGCGUAGUAACCACACCUCGCACCGGACCCCGCGCGCGGCCCGCCCCGCGGCGCCCCAGCGGCGCCGCGGCACCACCCCCCAAAAGGUUGACCUCGGAUCGGGCGGGGCUACCCGCUGAACUUAAGCAUAUCAAUAAGCGGAGGA
RNAcentral lists this unclassified non-coding RNA (373 nucleotides) under soil metagenome. RNAcentral describes it as "partial contains 5.8S ribosomal RNA, internal transcribed spacer 2, and large subunit ribosomal RNA". The stretch from base 1 to 120 matches the Rfam family "5.8S ribosomal RNA", at positions 35 to 154 of the family's 154-position model. The record is from RNAcentral.